CAUAUUAGUACCAUGAAUCUUGUCAUUCCUAAUUUAUAAAAUGAAGAAAAGAAAACCACUGCAUCAUGUGUUGUGAGGAUGAAAUGAAAUGUAGGAAAAAAAUGUCCGAUCCGAUACCCGACACGAAAUCAAUGUUCAGUGGUAAAGACAGGAAACUCUGAAUUCAGGGACCGAACUGAACUGGACUGAACUCAGGACUGUGUAAUUUGCAGAGCCUAGCUCAGUGUCUGCUACAAAAAUAAAAGGAAAAAAAGAGAAUUUCAAGAUGAAAGGAAUGAUUUAACACUGAAUGAGACUUGAAGGAAAAAAAAGUGAUGUUCAUAAUAAAAUCAAAAGGAAAUAAGAUACAAGAUCAGAAGUUAUUCUCAAACACUAUACACCAAUGGAACUCAACAUCUUAUUCUCUCAAAACCCAGUAAAUGAAAAUAACUAGCUGACUUCCUAACCUUAAAAUAAUGCUUUUUGUCUAAUGUAUGAAAAGGGGAUUAUUUUGAGGUAACAAUUCAAGUACAGUUUAUGAAUUUUCCCACAGUAGGUACUCACUAAAAAAUAAAUAAUAUCUACAAUAAUAUGAAAUAUAUAUAGAGAGAGAGUAUCUCUUGAAUUGUAUUAGCAAAGCCCUACCAAUUGUCUUCACCAGGAAAAUAGCCUAAUUAUCCAUGUCCAACAUUCUGAUUACAGUAAACUAUGUACACCUAAAU
This is a long non-coding RNA of Zalophus californianus (California sea lion), 701 nucleotides long. RefSeq lists it as uncharacterized. The record is from RefSeq and is a predicted model, not a curated record. The transcript has 3 exons. NCBI's taxonomy places the organism in Eukaryota, Metazoa, Chordata, Mammalia, Carnivora, Otariidae.